AAAGCCUGACGCAGCGACGCCGCGUGGGGGAGGAAGCCCUUCGGGGUGUAAACCCCUGUCGUCCGGGACGAAGGUCGGGGGUGAGGAGCCCUCGGCUGACGGUACCGGAAGAGGAAGCCCCGGCUAACUACGUGCCAGCAGCCGCGGUAAGACGUAGGGGGCGAGCGUUGUCCGGAAUCACUGGGCGUAAAGGGCGCGUAGGCGGCCUGGCAAGUCGGAUGUGAAAGGCCCCGGCUCAACCGGGGAGGUGCAUUCGAAACUGCCGGGCUUGAGGGCAGGAGAGGGCAGCGGAAUUCCCGGUGGAGCGGUGAAAUGCGUAGAGAUCGGGAGGAACACCAGUGGCGAAGGCGGCUGCCUGGUCUGGCCCUGACGCUGAGGCGCGACAGCGUGGGGAGCGAACGGGAUUAGAUACCCCGGUAGUCCACGCCGUAAACGAUGGGUGCUAGGUGUGGGAGGUAUCGACCCCUUCCGUGCCGGAGCUAACGCACUAAGCACCCCGCCUGGGGAGUACGGCCGCAAGGCUGAAACUCAAAGGAAUUGACGGGGGCCCGCACAAGCGGUGGAGCAUGUGGUUUAAUUCGAAGCUACGCGAAGAACCUUACCUGGGCUUGACAUCACCGCGAACCUGGCCGAAAGGCUGGGGUGCCCCUUUGGGGAGCGCGGUGACAGGUGCUGCAUGGUUGUCGUCAGCUCGUGUCGUGAGAUGUUGGGUUAAGUCCCGCAACGAGCGCAACCCCCGCCCUGUGUUGCCAGCGGUUCGGCCGGGCACUCACAGGGGACUGCCGGUGACAAACCGGAGGAAGGUGGGGAUGACGUCAAAUCAUCAUGGCCCUUAUGCCCAGGGCUACACACGUGCUACAAUGGCCGGUACAACGGGUUGCGAACCCGCGAGGGGGAGCCAAUCCCUAAAAGCCGGUCCCAGUUCGGAUCGCAGGCUGCAACUCGCCUGCGUGAAGCCGGAAUCGC
This 966-nucleotide ribosomal RNA is filed under the name Thermaerobacter composti. RNAcentral describes it as "bacterial SSU rRNA". It matches the Rfam family "Bacterial small subunit ribosomal RNA", at positions 378 to 1335 of the family's 1533-position model. Lineage: Bacteria; Bacillati; Bacillota; Clostridia; Eubacteriales; Clostridiales Family XVII. Incertae Sedis. The record is from RNAcentral.